Molecule: ribosomal RNA, 476 nt
Filed under: uncultured bacterium
Lineage: Bacteria
Description: SSU rRNA
Rfam family: Bacterial small subunit ribosomal RNA
Source: RNAcentral
AGAAUCAACGCUGGCGGCGUGCCUAACACAUGCAAGUCGAACGAGAAAGGGGAGCAAUCCCUGAGUAAAGUGGCGACCGGGUGAGUAACACGUGACUAACCUACCUUCGAGUGGGGGGAUAACUCCGGGAAACCGGGGCUAAUACCGCAUAACAUCCUCGGAUCGGAAGAACUGGGGAUCAAAGGAGCAAUUCGCUUGAAGAGGGAGUCGCGGCUGAUUAGCUUGUUGGCGGGGUAAUGGCCCACCAAGGCGAUGAUCGGUAUCCGGCCUGAGAGGGCGCACGGACACACUGGAACUGAAACACGGUCCAGACUCCUACGGGAGGCAGCAGUGGGGAAUUUUGCGCAAUGGGGGAAACCCUGACGCAGCAACGCAGCGUGGAGGAUGAAGUCCCUUGGGACGUAAACUCCUUUCGACCGGGACGAUAAUGACGGUACCGGUGGAAGAGCCCCGGCUAACUUCGCGCCAGCAGCCGC